Molecule: non-coding RNA, 1063 nt
Organism: Heterocephalus glaber (naked mole-rat)
Lineage: Eukaryota; Metazoa; Chordata; Mammalia; Rodentia; Bathyergidae
Source: RefSeq, a predicted model, not a curated record
UCUCGCCCUGCGCCCACCCGGGCCGGGGUCCACCUGUUCGCCCCUCCUGGACCGUAGGCCUGGUCACACACUCGAGCCAGGGCCAGCGGCUCGCAGGGGUGACCUUGGACGAACCCUUGCAUUCUCUGUCCCCAGUUCCCUUGCCCUGGUUUCUCCCUGUCUCCCGGAAACUGGGGCGAGGAGGAGCUAGCGAACGGUCUGGGGGUCUUUCUAGCACCUAGUAUUCAGCAAGAGCAGGGUUCUGGGUUUUCCCCUGAGAGGGGCACGUGGGAGAUUACCCAGCAGGAGAGACCCCGAUCCCAGGCUUCAGGGUGAGCUCGUUCACCGCCUGAGGCUUCUUCCCCUGAUGAGACGGGUGGGAAUGGGCCAGAGCCCUCCUGCCUGACCAGCUGUGCAAACGCUCCCUGAAUCAUCCCUCUUCAAUCGCUCUUUCAGUCAGUGGCAGUGGCCUCCCUCUGGGUGGCAAGUGGUGGCCCCACGAGCCAGGGGCCCUCCCAAGGAGAGGGCUUUGGGCUGGACUGGGAGUCAGGGGUUAGGUCUGAGGCUCCUGACCUCAGAGCUCACCAUCUUCCCUGCAAGCUUCCUGAGAGCCCUUCCCAGCUGGACUGAGGCCCUCCUGGCGCCUGCUGCAGAGAGCCCAGUGCUGGUGGGUAUGGAUACAGGCACCGGGUUCCCCAUCAGGUUCCUGCAGGCCCUGGGAAUCCUUGCUCCCUCUCCGAAACAUGGACUGACCUGAGAAAGCCCCCAAGCCCAGGGUGGUGAAGAGGCAGCCUGAUCAGCAGCCCAGGGCCUGGGAUGGCAGCUUGGCCAAAAUGAAGGUCAUAUCCAAGUCACCUUCCAGACCCGGGAGCCUAAAAGAAGCUCAUCCCCAGAGCAAGCCAGGAGACCCUCUGUGCUGACAAGAAGGAAGGCUAGUGACUGGAGGUGGCUGGCAUGGGCGAAAACGGAGGAGGAGGCUGAUGUCUGCCACCCCGACACACACUCUGCCCCCAGGGAUCUCCUGCAGAAGUGCAAAGAGGCCUGGAGAGAGUGACAGUGACCACGAGGACCCACCAGCCCCGCC